AGGUUUUUGCUUAAAAGAAUUGCCUCUUUCAUGCAAAUAAUUCAAUGAGGGCUAGAGAAACCACCAUUAUGAGCAUAUACCAACCAAGCUGGAAGCGCUUUACAAGCACAGAUUGGGUGAUGCGGCAAAAACAUUA
This 136-nucleotide small nucleolar RNA is filed under the name Drosophila virilis. RNAcentral's name for it is "snoRNA:GJ25491". Lineage: Eukaryota; Metazoa; Arthropoda; Insecta; Diptera; Drosophilidae. The record is from RNAcentral.